GGCGAGAUAGCCAAGUGGUAAGGCAUGGGUCUGCAACACCCUGAGCGCCGGUUCGAAUCCGACUCUCGCCU
This 71-nucleotide transfer RNA is filed under the name Lachnospiraceae bacterium. RNAcentral's name for it is "tRNA-Cys". It matches the Rfam family "tRNA". From Rfam's summary of the family: Transfer RNA (tRNA) molecules are approximately 80 nucleotides in length. Their secondary structure includes four short double-helical elements and three loops (D, anti-codon, and T loops). The record is from RNAcentral. RNAcentral also lists the same sequence under 5 other names. Lineage: Bacteria; Bacillati; Bacillota; Clostridia; Lachnospirales; Lachnospiraceae.